This 468-nucleotide ribosomal RNA is filed under the name uncultured bacterium. RNAcentral describes it as "partial 16S ribosomal RNA". It matches the Rfam family "Bacterial small subunit ribosomal RNA", at positions 28 to 507 of the family's 1533-position model. The record is from RNAcentral.
GACGAACGCUGGCGGCGUGCUUAACACAUGCAAGUCGAACGGAAAGGCCCUGCUUUUGUGGGGUGCUCGAGUGGCGAACGGGUGAUUAACACGUGCGUAACCUGCCCUUGACUUUGGGAUAACUUCAGGUAACUGGGGCUCAUACCGGAUAUGAGCUCCUGCUGCAUGGUGGGGGUUGGAAAGUUUCGGCGGUUGGGGAUGGACUCGCGGCUUAUCAGCUUGUUGGUUGGGUAGUGGCUUACCAAGGCUUUGACGGGUAGCCGGCCUGAGAGGGUGACCGGCCACAUUGGGACUGAGAUACGGCGCAGACUCCUACGGGAGGCAGCAGUGGGGAAUAUUGCACAAUGGGCGGAAGCCUGAUGCAGCAACGCCGCGUGCGGGAUGACGGCCUGCGGGUUGUAAACCGCUUUCGCCUGUGACGAAGCGUGAGUGACGGUAAUGUGUAAAGAAGCACCGGCUAACUACGUG